UACGAAGGUUGCAAGCGUUACUCGGAAUUACUAGGCGUAAAGGGCAGGUAGGUGGUUUGGUAAGUCUAUUGUGAAAGCUCCCGGCUUAACUGGGAGAGGCCAAUGGAUACUGCCGAGCUUGAGUAUAGGAGAGGUUACUGGAAUUCCCGGUGUAGCGGUGAAAUGCGCAGAUAUCGGGAGGAACACCAAUGGCGAAAGCAGGUAACUGGACUAUUACUGACACUCAACUGCGAAAGCUAGGGGAGCAAACAGG
This 253-nucleotide ribosomal RNA is filed under the name uncultured bacterium. Its description in RNAcentral is "partial 16S ribosomal RNA". It matches the Rfam family "Bacterial small subunit ribosomal RNA", at positions 524 to 776 of the family's 1533-position model. The record is from RNAcentral.